Molecule: unclassified non-coding RNA, 309 nt
Filed under: uncultured Cordycipitaceae
Lineage: Eukaryota; Fungi; Ascomycota; Sordariomycetes; Hypocreales; Cordycipitaceae
Description: sequence contains ITS1
Rfam family: 5.8S ribosomal RNA (bases 1-105)
Source: RNAcentral
GAAAUGCGAUAAGUAAUGUGAAUUGCAGAAUUCAGUGAAUCAUCGAAUCUUUGAACGCACAUUGCGCCCGCCAGCAUUCUGGCGGGCAUGCCUGUUCGAGCGUCAUUUCAACCCUCGAGCCCCCCCCGGGGGCCUCGGUGUUGGGGGACGGCACACCAGCCGCCCCCGAAAUGCAGUGGCGACCCCGCCGCAGCCUCCCCUGCGUAGUAGCACACACCUCGCACCGGAGCGCGGAGGCGGUCACGCCGUAAAACGCCCAACUUUCUUAGAGUUGUCCUCAACUCGAGUGAGAUUACCCGCUGAACUUAA